GACCUGCCAACUAUCCCGAUUUUCGCGGUAUCAUCCCGAUUUUCAUCCCUCAACCCGAAUCCCGAUAUCGGGAUUCUAAAACAAGUCAAAAUCCCGAUUUUCACAAAUAUACCCGAACAAAUUAUUUGGUUUCCGAUUUUGAAGUUUUUCUGAUAAUCUAUAAUUUUACCUGGGGCCAUAUUAUGACAAGUUUACAAUACUACGCUAAUCAACGGUCACAACAGGUGUCAUAGUUUGUUGUUGCAAGUAAUCGGAUUACCUGAUGGGUCAUAACAAUCCUCAAAAUUAAUUAAUAUUAUUAUUUGUAAACAGAAAGUCGGUCAGUUGGCCUUUCAUUUUUAAUCAAUUUAUCAUACGAGCACAA
Molecule: long non-coding RNA, 364 nt
Filed under: Mytilus galloprovincialis (Mediterranean mussel)
Lineage: Eukaryota; Metazoa; Mollusca; Bivalvia; Mytilida; Mytilidae
Source: RNAcentral